RNAcentral lists this ribosomal RNA (486 nucleotides) under uncultured Sphingobacteriales bacterium. Its description in RNAcentral is "bacterial SSU rRNA". It matches the Rfam family "Bacterial small subunit ribosomal RNA", at positions 904 to 1382 of the family's 1533-position model. Lineage: Bacteria; Pseudomonadati; Bacteroidota; Sphingobacteriia; Sphingobacteriales. The record is from RNAcentral.
GCUCAGAAACUUAAUGAAUUGACGGGGCCGCACAAGCGGUGGAGCAUGUGGUUUAAUUCGAUGAUACGCGAGGAACCUUACCUGGGCUCAAAUGUAUGUUGACGUAUUCUGAAAGGGAUACUUCUUCGGACAAUAUACAAGGUGCUGCAUGGUUGUCGUCAGCUCGUGCCGUGAGGUGUCGGGUUAAGUCCCAUAACGAGCGCAACCCCUAUCAUUAGUUGCCAUCAGGUCAAGCUGGGGACUCUAAUGAAACUGCCUACGCAAGUAGUGAGGAAGGUGGGGAUGACGUCAAAUCAGCACGGCCCUUACGUCCAGGGCUACACACGUGCUACAAUGGCCGGUACAAAGGGCAGCUACCUGGUGACAGGAUGCUAAUCUCAAAAGCCGGUCUCAGUUCGGAUCGGAGUCUGCAACCCGACUCCGUGAAGCUGGAUUCGCUAGUAAUCGCGCAUCAGCCACGGCGCGGUGAAUACGUUCCCGGGCCUU